Molecule: ribosomal RNA, 468 nt
Filed under: uncultured bacterium
Lineage: Bacteria
Description: partial 16S ribosomal RNA
Rfam family: Bacterial small subunit ribosomal RNA
Source: RNAcentral
GACGAACGCUGGCGACGUGCUUAACACAUGCGAGUCGAACGGAAAGGCCCUGCUUUUGUGGGGUGCUCGAGUGGCGAACGGGUGAGUAACACGUGAGUAACCUGCCCUUGACUUUGGGAUAACUUCAGGAUACUGGGGCUAAUACCGGAUAGGAGCUCCUGCUGCAUGGUGGGGGUUGGAAAGUUUCGGCGGUUGGGGAUGGACUCGCGGCUUAUCAGCUUGUUGGUGGGGUAGUGGCUUACCAAGGCUUUGACGGGUAGCCGGCCUGAGAGGGUGACCGGCCACAUUGGGACUGAGAUACGGCCCAGACUCCUACGGGAGGCAGCAGUGGGGAAUAUUGCACAAUGGGCGGAAGCCUGAUGCAGCAACGCCGCGUGCGGGAUGACGGCCUUCGGGUUGUAAACCGCUUUCGCCUGUGACGAAGCGUGAGUGACGGUAAUGGGUAAAGAAGCACCGGCUAACUACGUG